Molecule: non-coding RNA, 21 nt
Organism: Caenorhabditis elegans
Lineage: Eukaryota; Metazoa; Nematoda; Chromadorea; Rhabditida; Rhabditidae
Source: Ensembl
UAUUAUCGUCUUCUGAGCAUA